Long non-coding RNA from Rosa chinensis, 669 nucleotides. RefSeq lists it as uncharacterized. NCBI's taxonomy places the organism in Eukaryota, Viridiplantae, Streptophyta, Magnoliopsida, Rosales, Rosaceae. The record is from RefSeq and is a predicted model, not a curated record. The transcript has 3 exons.
AGGGACUUUAUGAGCUUAUUCCUGCAACCAAAUCAGUAGUUGAGAAUUUGGGGAAAGAGAGACUUGAUAGAUUGGGUUUUUGCAGCGGUUAUUAGACAUACCCGCAUCCUGUGUGUAUGGAGAGGUUUGAUCACUUAUCCAGUGAUGCCGAAGAAGAAGAACGAGUUCAUCUUGAUCGUUAAUGGAUCACGAUUACUUGCCCUGCUAACACCAUUAUUAGGGAAGAUUGCAUUGUCACAUGGUCCUCUGUGCCAAGCUACCAAUACCCAAUGCCAAUGGCGGAAGUGAGCAAGCCACCAAACCCUAACCUUAGUUGCAUUGGCCUAUGUAUGCUGCUCAUCGAUCAAAACCCCUAAUUGAUUUUCUGCAUGCCAAGAGGUUCUGUCUCCUUGCCUUCUACUUGGUUGACUGACACUCAUAUUACUAUUGAUUUGGGUUCUCAAUCAAGCUUAGGAAUAUCAUGGCACAGGAUCUAAAAUCGGGGAGGAAUCUUUUGACUGGGAAGAGUAGCAAUGGUCUAUAUCCUAUUUCUCUGCCGUCGUUAAAAAAUUUUGGCUUGCAAGUUUGCUCAUGUCGGUGUUUGUGUGUUGGCUCCCAUUUGACAUUCACGCCUUGGUCAUCCAUCUAGUCUAGUCUUGAGUCAUUUAUUUUCAAAUAAGGAGCUUCCUG